This 497-nucleotide ribosomal RNA is filed under the name uncultured bacterium. RNAcentral describes it as "partial 16S ribosomal RNA". It matches the Rfam family "Bacterial small subunit ribosomal RNA", at positions 28 to 507 of the family's 1533-position model. The record is from RNAcentral.
GAUGAACGCUGGCGGCGUGCCUAAUACAUGCAAGUCGAGCGAACAGACGAGGAGCUUGCUUCUCUGACGUUAGCGGCGGACGGGUGAGUAACACGUGGAUAACCUACCUAUAAGACUGGGAUAACUUCGGGAAACCGGAGCUAAUACCGGAUAAUAUAUUGAACCGCAUGGUUCAAAAGUGAAAGACGGUUUUGCUGUCACUUAUAGAUGGAUCCGCGCCGCAUUAGCUAGUUGGUAAGGUAACGGCUUACCAAGGCAACGAUGCGUAGCCGACCUGAGAGGGUGAUCGGCCACACUGGAACUGAGACACGGUCCAGACUCCUACGGGAGGCAGCAGUAGGGAAUCUUCCGCAAUGGGCGAAAGCCUGACGGAGCAACGCCGCGUGAGUGAUGAAGGUCUUCGGAUCGUAAAACUCUGUUAUUAGGGAAGAACAAAUGUGUAAGUAACUAUGCACGUCUUGACGGUACCUAAUCAGAAAGCCACGGCUAACUACGUG